AUUGUUUUUUUUCCGAACGAAACGAAGGUGUUGUCGUCUGCUGCUGUCUGCUAAGUGCUUAUGUGAUUUUAGUGCUCAGACCUACCAGCGUUUUCAAGUUUCAAAAUGAGCAACGGGAAUGUGUUGAUCGUUCUAGGAAAAAAUGGAAGUAAAAAAUUUGAACUACAAGUUACCUUUCAAACUACCGUUGGCGAAUUGUGUGCUGAAAUCGAAAAAGAAACGGAUAUACCUGUUAACUGUCAAAGAGUUAUUUACAACGGACGAGCUCUAAAUAAUCACGCUGAAGACAUGCAAAAAGACCUACAUAAUCUAGGGUUAAAAUCCCCUGCCAAAGUGCUAGUGCUUGGUAAGAAACCAGAUGAAGAGGAUGAAAAUUACAAAUUGAUGAAGAAAUGGGAGAUUUCUUGUGAUUCAGUCACAAAUCAAGUUAGUAGUAUUGAAAAAGACAUCCUUGAAAUGGAAAGGGGGUUUGCUCCUAAGGAAUUGUUUGACAAUCUACCAAAAGUUGAAAAAAAGAUAAACUGUCUAGCAGAAGAAUUAAUGAAGAUUUUGAUAUCCCUUGAUGCACUAAGUUUCAAAGAAGACCAGAAAGUGGCUAGGGCAAAAAGGAAAUGUAUAAUUGAUAAAAUUCAUUCGUUGCAUAGAAAAUGUGAUGAAAUGGUUGCUUCAGUGAAGCAGUUGCAAAGUACAAAAUCUUAAUGAUGGGUUAAGUAAUCUAAAUACGGAAAUAUAUAAAAUGUUUAAUAUUCUGCCUUAUUAAUACUUAUAACUAUAUAUUACUAUGUAAGCAAAUGUUGUGGAUUGUAAUUACAUUUUGAUAGAAUGGUUAAAAGUGAAAGUGACUCAACGCGCGCGUGUUAAACAUUUUCAACUGUAAGUGGUAAACGUCCAGCUGUUGGGCCUGAACGUCCAAAAUAGUAAUAAUACAAUGAAUGUAUUUAAUGUGACUUGAUCUCCAUGGCCUAGGUCAAUGCUUUGGCAUAUUCUUUUUGUUUUGACUGGCGUUUUAGCUGAAUGGAGGAUAGUUUUCUUUUUAUAACUAAAAAUUGGUAAUGUACACAGGUUUUCAAGUCGUUCGAGUUCGAGUCAUCAUCAUGAAAAUGUGGAUUAAAUUGAACUUGUGUCUUGCCGUAACUAUAGAUGGCUAUUCGAAAUCUGUCAGUGAGUCAGUCACAUAGAUGGGACUGGGAGAGGUGUAGAACAAACAACAAAUGCCGAAAUUUAUUUCCUGCUGCUGUUAACUUAUUUUAUUGACCUUUGUGUCCACAAAAUAUAUAGGUGAAACUGUAACUUUCAUAAUCUAAUCACCAUAGUUGAUACUUACACUUCAUCCCUGUAUUCUAGUCGAUUCGUCUAGUAUUCUACAUAAUGUGUGCAAGAAGCUUGUCCUUGUCUGCUGUCAUCUCAAGAUCUCAUUUAGGUAUUGCAUCAUAGCUGGGUAUUGACUUCACAACCAGAUUCUUUGCCAUUUGCAAUUGGAAAGAUCAGUUUAGGGUAUUACAGUCGGAUGUUACAUUUGCUUCUGUGUUUGAAGUUUUUUUUUUCCAGUCGAGUUUUUACGGUGCACAUUUAGCCACGGUUUGAUUUUUAAGUCUUAAGUCUGUAACUUAACUACUUAAGAAUGAUUGUGUAUUAUUAUAAUUAUUCUUUGUUAUUAUGGUUAAUACACGCAUUUUUUAAUCUA
Molecule: unclassified non-coding RNA, 1684 nt
Filed under: Daphnia pulicaria
Lineage: Eukaryota; Metazoa; Arthropoda; Branchiopoda; Diplostraca; Daphniidae
Description: uncharacterized LOC124311429, transcript variant X1
Source: RNAcentral